AUUGCAAUUACUCCUAAUCCCUAUUAGGGAUUGAAAC
Non-coding RNA from Desertifilum sp., 37 nucleotides. The record is from Rfam. Lineage: Bacteria; Bacillati; Cyanobacteriota; Cyanophyceae; Desertifilales; Desertifilaceae.